This 484-nucleotide ribosomal RNA is filed under the name uncultured bacterium. Its description in RNAcentral is "partial 16S ribosomal RNA". It matches the Rfam family "Bacterial small subunit ribosomal RNA", at positions 29 to 507 of the family's 1533-position model. The record is from RNAcentral.
AUUGAACGCUGGCGGCAGGCCUAACACAUGCAAGUCGAACGGAAGAAGGGUGCUUGCUUGUGGUUUCGGGGGGGGACGGGGGGGUGAGGCAUGGGAAUAUCCCUGGCUGGUGUGUAGGACGUCCUGAGGCAGGGGCUAAUACGGCAGGAGCGCAGAGGGCGUAAGUGGGGGGGCGUUGGAACUUACGCGCUGAGGUGAGUCGAGGUCGGAUUAGCUAGUUGGUGGGGUAAAGGCCUACCAAGCCGACGAUCCGUAGCUGGUCUGAGAGGAUGAUCAGUCACACUGGAACUGAGACACGGUCCAGACUCCUACGGGAGGCAGCAGUGGGGAAUAUUGGACAAUGGGCGAAAGCCUGAUCCAGCCAUGCCGCGUGGGUGAAGAAGGCCUUCGGAUUGUAAAGCACUUUUAGUGGGGAUGAAAGGCAGUAGGCUAAUACCCCGCUGUUGUGACGGUACCAAAAGAAUAAGCACCGGCUAACUUCGUG